UACGUAGGGUGCGAGCGUUGUUCGGAAUUAUUGGGCGUAAAGGGCUCGUAGGCGGUCUGUCGCGUCGGGCGUGAAAACCCAGGGCUUAACCCUGAGCCUGCUUCCGAUACGGGCAGACUAGAGGUAUGCAGGGGAGAGCGGAAUUCCUGGUGUAGCGGUGAAAUGCGCAGAUAUCAGGAGGAACACCGGUGGCGAAGGCGGUUCUCUGGGCAUUACCUGACGCUGAGGAGCGAAAGUGUGGGGAGCAAACAGG
Molecule: ribosomal RNA, 253 nt
Filed under: uncultured bacterium
Lineage: Bacteria
Description: partial 16S ribosomal RNA
Rfam family: Bacterial small subunit ribosomal RNA
Source: RNAcentral